GCCGAGGUGGCGGAAUGGUAUACGCGGUAGUCUCAAAAACUACUGGUCGCAAGACCUUGAGAGUUCGAGUCUCUCCCCCGGUACAA
RNAcentral lists this transfer RNA (86 nucleotides) under Candidatus Dojkabacteria bacterium. RNAcentral's name for it is "tRNA-Leu". It matches the Rfam family "tRNA". From Rfam's summary of the family: Transfer RNA (tRNA) molecules are approximately 80 nucleotides in length. Their secondary structure includes four short double-helical elements and three loops (D, anti-codon, and T loops). The record is from RNAcentral.